CAAUACUUUUGGGGGAAUUCACCUGAACUAAGUAAUUUCAUUGAACAUAAUGUUGGAUACCUGCGAGAGUAUGCUGCGAUCUUUAUAGCUCCAUGGCUGGCACGCGGUGGGUCCCAGUGUAAUUUGAGAAAUGCAUCCCUGCCGGCGAUUUUCAUUAAAUUAGGAAAUUAUGUGCGGAACUAUUUUGUCCCGCCCACGGGAUCUACGGAUACAAAUACUUCUGCUACACAUUUACCACCUAGACGUGUUGCAAAACAACCUGCAAAAAAAACCCACAGCUGAGACUUGCAGGAGCAGAUUCGAGCAGUUGUAAAAUGGAUUGGUGCUCCCUCAUUAAAAUGCUGAAUUAACGUAGCGUUCUUUAUCAUUUUAUUUGUGAGGAAAUUUUUCAUAGAUUCAUUACUUCAAAUUUGGGUUUACGAAUGCAAACCUUUUGGGCAUGUUCUCAGAUUAUGAAACACGGGUGUGCGAAUGUGUUUUGCACCAACUGCGCUGCAAUAAUUGUAGCAAAAGGAUUUGUGCACCUGUAACACAGAUUUGCGUACUCGUAGACCCUAUUUUGUGUUUACAAUGGUAUAAAAAAUAUUUACGACUACAUAUGUACUGUUACACAUUUGUGACAGUUGCCUUUACUCUCAGUUUGGCAAGGACAGGUAUGGUGGGCAAGGGGUUCUGAUGUAUGAGAGACUCGCUGAGAAACUAGUUCAGUACCAGGCUGAAAAUCCAGAAGCUACAACUUGUCAUCAAAUAUAUGAGGGUGUUAGUAAGCCUCUCAUAAUUGCCAUUGUAACACCUCUGAUGAAUCGUGUGCACAAGGAAGUACAGCAGUCUGGUGAAUUGUUUUUUGUGGAUGCGACUUCCAACACAGAAGAGCACAAUCUGAAAGUGUUUGUAAUGUGCACACACAGUGUAUCUGGAGCACUACCACUUGGUAUCUUCAUCACUAGUGAUGAGCAAGAAAGCACACUUAAACAGGGUUUUGAAAUGCUUCGCUCCUGUUUACCUCAGCAUGCGUUCAAUGGCCGUGGCCCAGAACAAGGACCCCAAGUCAUCCUCACAGACAACUGCAAAGAAGAAAGAAAUGCACUGAAGUCUGUUUGGCCAUCUUGUGUUUUACUCCUUUGUAUCUUUCACAUGCUCCAGCAGGUCUGGAGAUGGCUUCAUGAGGGUAGCCAUAAUAUCAACCAAUCAGACAGGCCCCAUAUCCUAAACCUUUUUAAGAAGUCCCUAUAUGCCCAAACAAAGCAAGAAUUCAACAACUGUUUCAGUGCACUUUUGAAUGAUGACCAAUGCAAACGAUACCCAAAUCUACUGAGUUAUCUACACAAUCUGUUCAAAGACAAAGAAGCUUUUGCUCUAUGCUUCAGAACAGAACUACCUGUUAGAGGCAAUCACACGAAUAACUUUGCAGAGGCCCAGUUUCUGGUUUUGAAGGAUGUGAUUCUACGUCGUACAAAAGAGUACAAUGUUGUUGGGCUACUGGACAAGCUGACAAUUGAUCUGGAAGACCAUUACAAGAAUAAGCUGCUCAGUAUUGCUGAUGGAAGUUAUGAUGGUCUUUACAGGCACCGAUUCAUGGGGAAAGGAAAGGAUGGAAGCACAGGCUUCAAAGUUCCAGAUAAAAAACAGCUGGAUACCUAUCUCUCCACUGUGAGAGACUUUGGCAACAACAUCUUCAAAGUUGGAAGCGCUUCAGAUACCAGUCAAAGUUACACCGUGGACAUGAGUCUUGGAGUGUGUAGCUGCCAGACUGGUAAAGAUGGGACCCCAUGCAAACACCAGUAUGUACUGUGGAUGGCAAAUGUAGCACACUGUAUUAAUUUCAUCCCCGUUACCAACCCAAACAGUAGACAAAAAUUGGCAUGGAUAGCAUUAGGGAAAACACUUCCUGUUGAUAGUUACAAUUCCUUACGCUCUUGUGAUGUGGGUGGUCAGAAAGAGCUUGCACAAGGCGACGGUCUUCCCAGCGAGGCAUCCACUAUCAUGGGAACAACACACUGCUCGACUCCUGUGGAGAUAGAAAACCCUGACUCUCCAGCUGAUGUUAUUGAAGCCGCAGAACAUUUGUUGCAAACCAGCUGUAUGCAGAUACUCCAAAAGCUUCAAACCACCAGAGAUCUUAAUUUGGCAAAAGGGAUAGUUAAAUUUUCAAAAAGAGUAGAAUCCCUAAGCUCUGCAAGAGCUAUGCAAUCCAAUUUGGUGAGUGCUCUUUAUAAUUUUGGGGCUAGCGAGAUCAAGAAAACAGGAAUGGGCAAGAAAAUCAAGGUCCAACCAAACAGAAAAAGGAAGACUGGGAAUGGGAGUCGUCAAGCGGUACCCAAAGGACGGCCAGUGCAGCUACAUGAGCCCAAAAGAAAACGCACACACACAUUUACUACAGCAGUGCAGUCAAAUACCAACACUAGUAAGAAGUCUGGGACCCAUACCAUGCAAUCAAAGACAAAGCAUUUAAAAAGAAAUAAAUAAAAGAGACUGGGCAAACUGGACUGGGGCAUCAACUGUAGAAUUUAAUAGGGAGAAUGUAAAUACUCAAUAUUUUGUAAAUGUAUACAAUGAAUUCACUUUUUCGUGCAGGCAUUUGCGUGUCUUGCCAGGUUUCUUUUUUCAGCAAAGUUUUUUUUGCAGUGGUCACAUUGGUAUUGUUGUUUGUGGUUCUUGUUUUUGUGUCUCCAGUUUUUUUUCAUGUUGAAAUGUUUCAUUGCAAAUGUCACACACACAUUCAUGGCAGCCUCUUUGAUGAAAUUUUAAAUCCUUCUGUCUUGUGAAGGUUAUUUGGCAAUUGGGGCAUUUAUUUGGCUCUGCCAACCCUGUGUCCCUGUCCUCCCGCUCUUGUUGGGCUUUGUCUUUCCAAUCCUAUAAAUAUAUAUAUCAAAAAUCAAGGUUUGCCUUUGCAUUUGUUGCCUUUUCUACAAUACUGAAUUUCUCUCUCAAGACAUAUACAUACACCAACAUCAAUUUACUUCAUGUCUUACUUGUGAAUCUAUUAUUAUUAUUAUUAUUAUA
RNAcentral lists this long non-coding RNA (3003 nucleotides) under Gadus morhua (Atlantic cod). RNAcentral's name for it is "lncRNA (ENSGMOG00000031827.1)". Lineage: Eukaryota; Metazoa; Chordata; Actinopteri; Gadiformes; Gadidae. The record is from RNAcentral.